UACGUAGGAUGCAAGCGUUGUCCGGAAUUAUUGGGCGUAAAGCGCGCGCAGGUGGUUCUUUAAGUCUGAUGUGAAAGCCCCCGGCUCAACCGGAGAGGGUCAUUGGAAACUGUGGAACUUGAGUACAGGAGAGGAAAGUGGAAUUCCACGUGUAGCGGUGAAAUGCGUAGAUAUGUGGAGGAACACCAGUGGCGAAGGCGACUUUCUGGCCUGUAACUGACGCUGAGUCGCGAAAGCGGGGGGAGCAAACAGG
This 253-nucleotide unclassified non-coding RNA is filed under the name uncultured Caryophanaceae bacterium. RNAcentral's name for it is "uncultured Planococcaceae bacterium contains 16S-23S intergenic spacer region". It matches the Rfam family "Bacterial small subunit ribosomal RNA", at positions 524 to 776 of the family's 1533-position model. The record is from RNAcentral. Lineage: Bacteria; Bacillati; Bacillota; Bacilli; Caryophanales; Caryophanaceae.